CUCAAGGCAGUAAAGGUGUCUCCAUCUAAAAUGGAGAACGACAGUGGGGAGGAGGAAGAAGAAGAAGAGGAUGAACAAGGAGCAACUCUCUGUGGAGCUUGUGGUGAUAAUUAUGCGACUGAUGAAUUCUGGAUUUGCUGUGAUAUUUGCGAGAGAUGGUUCCAUGGAAAAUGUGUGAAGAUCACUCCAGCUAAAGCUGAGCAUAUCAAGCAGUACAAGUGUCCUAGUUGCAGUAGCAAGAGAGCUAAAGUCUAGAAUUUGUGGCAAGAACAAUUAAGUGGUGAUGUUGGAAGGUGUAGGAGUUUUAGCUCAAUUAUCAAAUGUCAAAAGUUAAAUGUUUGCUGAUGGAAUUGGGAUGUCCAUUUCAUGAACAUUUGCUUUCUGUUAUCUUGCUUUCGGAUUGUGUUUUAGAUUAAAAGAAAUUGUGCCUGUUAUCAUCUUGUGUUUGAAGAUCCAUUUUCACUUUUUACUUUUGUAUUUAUUAUGAGGAAUUCCCAAACUUUUGUGAUAGUUUUGAGUACCGGAACAACAACCUGCUUAAAACUUAUGAAGGUCUAUCCUUUAUACCAGUCCACCAUGACUACAAGCUUUUAAUACCCCAAUAUAGGUUAUUCUAUCUGCUUCAAUAUUUUCUUUCUUCAUCUUCUACAACAAUUCAACAGCUUCAAUCACACUGCCAUAAGCUGUUAGCAUUCCAAUCUGCUGCAACAGCUCUCUCAGGAAUUUCAUCAAACUGUUGCUGUGCAAUCUCCAAAGACUAAAACUUUCCAUACAUACCCAUAAUCGCAUUCCGAAUGAACCUACCCAACCAUGACCUCUUUUGAUAGUAGGUUAUAACCUCUGAAAAUUGGAAUAAUCUAAGUGAUUGACAGGAAGAACAAUCCACGUACCCAGUGAAAUCUCACACAAUAACAUAAACAUAUUGAUAUCAAAAGCAAGAACUAUAAGAAUAACCUAAUACACAACUUCUGAAUCGUAUACGUAUGAAAAAAAGAAAUUCAGUCUAACUUGAUUUAUCAAAAAAUGUAAAAACUAGUGAAAAAGCUACUCACCUUAAUUCAAUAUUGGAGUUUGUCUUUAUACUCAAAUCACCGCCUUUGCUAUGAUUUAUUUCAUCAGAAGAAAUAUUUACGCAACCCAAUAGGUACACUUGCUCUCUCACAUCUAUUACAACCUCUUCCCUCUUUCUCUAACUUAAUCUCCGCUUUUUCACCAAUAAGUUGAUUUGCAAAAGUAACAAACAAAUAAGUCAAAACCCUGAAAAUUAAUCCCAAAAUUAGUUGGGAACCGUAAAUAAAAUCACAAUAAGAUUAAUUUUUAGGUUAGCAAAUUCAACUUACCAUAGCCCAGAAAAAAAGGAUGAAGAUUGCUUCCGAAGGAACAAUGGUGCAAUUGAAGCCAACAAUUCUUUUGGACUAAUUACAUGUGUUAUCCGCUAUCUCUUAAAACUCUCACCCUAUCACUCAAUUUUUUUUGUUCAUCUUUGUAUCCAAAUCUCAUGAUUCUCAAAUCAUUUUUCACGACUAUUAAAUUAAAGGUAUAUUUAACUUUUUAAAAAUCCUUUAUACUUUUCUCAUUUGAGUAAAAGUAAAACCUCUUGAUAACUAUAAAACCCAAAUAAGCUAUCCGUGGUAUUUAUAUCCCCCAACUUUUAUUGGAAACAACAAAUGUCAAAAUCAAAACCCACAAAACACAAACAUCAUAGCCUUCUUUUUUUUACACCUCUGUCUCAUCAUCAAACAAGAAGAAAGAAAAGAAGACAGAAGAAUCCCUCUCCAUUCUCCAAGGCAAAAUCUUCAUCCUAAAUUCUAGUAAUAAAAUAUUCUCAAGUUGGGAGUAUUACUAUAAUUUAACAACAAAUAAAAAGACAUUUCACAUCAGAUUUCUGCCACAUUUUUUUUUUGAAAGAACCAAUAGAUCCAAGUAUUCGUACACUAGUGCUACAUGUAUCUAUUUACCAAAAAAAAAAAAACUAAAAUAAAUGCUGCUGCUAAAACCCUUUCCCCACCACCCCACUUUCCUCUUUCUUCCUGCUGUUCUCUUUCUCUUUCUAUAUCCGUUUCUUACAAUUUCUCUACUUCUCACAGUUUCUCAUAAAAAAUUGAGUUUUUCUCUUUAUGAAUCUUCAUUUUCACAGUACGUAGCAAACUAAUUUUUAAGUUUGGGUAACAUGAAGAGGAAACCCUAGUUCUUGGGGGGAAAACCCUAAUUUUCUUCAACCCACUUCUUGUUUUUUCUCAAAGACUCAAUUUUUUUCUUGUGGGGUUGUUAGAAAUAUGGAAAAUACGGUACCUAGGACUGUAGAAGAAGUAUUCAACGAUUUCAAAGGUCGUAGAGCUGGUUUAAUCAAAGCACUAACUACAGGUUUGUAGUGUUGUUUCCUUUUUUUUUCUUAGAAUUUUCAUGCACUUUUAUGGGGUUUUGAGCAUAAUUUCUUUCUGGGUGUUUCUGAAUUUUGUUGGUUUUGCUAAUUAUGAUGUUCUUGAUUUUUUUUAAAAAAUUAUGCAGAUGUCGAGAAGUUUUAUCAAUCGUGUGAUCCUGGUGAGUUUUCUGCUGCUCAGUUUUGAUGGAUUGUUGUGGUCCAUCAAUAUUUUCACAUUUGGUUCUUCUGUGCUAUGAGCUUGAGGUGUAUUUCUAAAUGCAGUAUAUUUCCUAUAGGCUAUAGCUUUAAGUUUUCCGGGACUGUUUCUUUAUGAGAAAAUGAUCAAAAUGGUCCUUAAUGUAUGGUCUUUGAUUCCAUUUGGUCCUUAAUGUAUGGAGUUGAUGGAAAUGGUCCUUUAUGUAUCAUAAAUUGUGAUCAAUUUAGUCCUUAACCCUAAAAUUUUAAUGGCAGCAAUUAUUUAAAAAAAAUUUAAACUAAAAUCGCUACACGCGGAGCGAUUUCCCAUUAUUUUUUAAGCAGUCCUCGCCUCGAGAAUUUUUAAUAAAAAAAAUUGAACUUUUUUAAGAAAAUGGCUGCUAUAGCAGCUAUUUCUAUUUUUUAAAUGCUGCUGGGGCAACGUUGUUAAAAAAAUAAAAAUCACAACAGCGAUUUUAAAGAAAAAAGAAAUUUUUUUUUGGACCGGCAGCGAUUUUUAUGUUUUUUAAAGGAGUAACAGCGUCAAUUUUGUCAGAAGAAAAUCACUCCGUCAGAAGCGAUUUUGCCCUUUUGGUUAAGAAAAAAUUGAUGUGUCAUUUUGGAAUUUUUGGAAACAGGGGAAGGAAAGUCUUGAACGAGUGCAUCUUUUACAUAUUCCGUGUAUUUUGACGGCAAAAUAAAAUAAAAUAUUAAUUUUAGGGUUAAGGACCAAAUUAAUCACAAUUUAUGAUACAUAAAGGACCGUUUUCAUCAAGUCCAUACAUUAAGGACCAAAUGGAAUCAAAGCCAUACAUUAAGUACCAUUUUGAUCAUUUUCUCGUUUCUUUAUACUCCUGUUUUUUCUUUAAAUUUCUGUUGUUUUAUGUUCCUACUGUAUUUUGGAAUUUCAUUGUCAAUUUGGUUGAGUGAUUAAGCGACUUGAUUAGGACUUUGUGACUCUUAUAUUCCUAUAAGAGUCAAGCUCAUAUAUUUUCCUAUAAGGCUAUAGCUUUUAAUUUCUGGGACUGUUUCUUUAUAUUCCUGUUUUUUCUUUAAAUUUCUGCUGUUUAAUGUUCCUAAUGUAUUUUGGGAUUUCAUUGUCAAUUUGGUAGAGUGAUUUAGCAACUUGAAUAGGACUUGUGACUUAAUAUUUCAGAAUCUUAUAAUUUGCUUCUUGUCCCGUCUUUGUGUCAGUUUUGGAACUUCAAUGUUGUUUGUCCCAAGGAGUGGCCUAGAACUCAUGGUUAGAGCUUUCUGACUGCCUAUAUAAUUUUGUCAUUUGAUGUUCUUCUUUGGCUGCCAUGCAGGAAUGGAAAGAUCAUAUCUUUAUUAAGUAGUUAAUUGUCGCCUUCAAUUUUGAAAGAGUAAUUUUUCUGCAUUUUCAACAGAAUUAUCAUGAUCUCAAACUGCAUUCCAGAAUAUGAGUUGUAAAAUGAGAUCAUUACUUAGAAUUUUGUGUCAUUUAGUGAGAAUGUCAAUGUCAGAACUGUUCUCGUUGUAGUCUUGAUGACUUUUUGUCAAUUCUCAAGGAAGAAGAGGUUAGAACUUCUUUUAUGUAGCAAUGAUCAUCAUUUCUCUAUCACAGUGGCAGAGUGUCUCCAACCAUUGUUUAUCUUGCUUACAGCAACAACAACAACAACAUACCCAAUAUAAUCCCACAAGUGGGGUCUUGAUCAUUUAUCUUGUUUAUGAUGGGUAAAAGUGCAUAUGAUUGGAGUGUUGAAACCACUUUGAUGUCUUUAUGACAUUUUUUAUGUUGAUGCAUUUGGUGUAUAUACAUACUUAAGGUGUCUGGAGGCAGCUUAGUUAAAGUGGGUUGAAGUAUGUGUUUUCUUUCCUUUUUUUUCUCUUUCUUGGUAAGUUUUUUUCUCUCUUCUCUUUUUCAUUAUUCUUUGGGGUUUUGGUGGGUGGGGUGGGGAUGGGGGGUAGGAGGUGAGAGUACUGUAUUUCUGGUCUGUGAAAAAACAAUUUGGAAAUCCUUAUUUUGCAUUUGGCAAUUUUAGAGGUGCUUUUCUUGUGCCAGUAUUCAUUAAUUGUUUUUGAAGUAUUUGAUAUAGUAGGGAAACAUACCGUGGCUUUAUCCCAAGCAUUUGAUGCAUUUCUUUUAUGCAGUGUCUAACUGUUUAUACUUAUUCGACAGUCUCUGUUAAAAACUCUAUUUUGAAGAACUGGUUUAAAUUCUUUAUUUCGUUGCUGUUAUUUAUUUUGAUCCCAUUUGCUUAAAUGUUCAUUGUGACCUUUGUGACAAUGAUAUCGAUAGACUACUCCCUCUAUAUUUCAAACAGUUGUAUCGGCCUUUAUGACAGUUUAUAUCUCUCUUUAAUGUUUUUAGUCCGAUAGAUUACACAGUUAUUUAAGGUUUCGUAGAUAGUUUAUUAAAGCCUGGAAGUUGUAAGGAUAAUUGAGUUUUCUCUUGUGUUGCAUCAUUCUUAUCCCCUUCAUUUCACAGCUUGCCCUCUCUUUUUCCUUGUAUAGAGGCUUGUUGGGUGUGUUCCUUCAUUGGAUGUUCAAUUCUUGUUUUCUAUAUAGAUCACUUAUGCAGAUCAAUUAUGAAGUGUUUAUGACAAUUUCUGGAUUUAACUAUGUUUACUUUCAGAAAAGGAGAACUUGUGUCUCUAUGGGCUUCCUAAUGAAACAUGGGAAGUAAACCUCCCUGUAGAGGAGGUGCCUCCAGAACUUCCGGAGCCAGCAUUGGGCAUAAACUUCGCACGUGAUGGAAUGCAAGAGAAAGACUGGUUAUCACUUGUUGCUGUUCACAGUGAUUCAUGGCUGCUUUCUGUUGCAUUCUACUUUGGCGCACGGUUUGGGUUCGGCAAGAGUGAAAGGUAAAAUAAAAUCUGUUACCAAUAGAUUUCACCUUUAUCGUUUUAACUGUCUUGCAAACUUGGUCCUACCCAUUAUAUUUUAUUUGAAUGUGUAUGUUUUUCCUGUUUGAUGGAAGACAUUGGAGGCCUUGGGCUACCUUUUGGCAAAUUUAAAUUAGUGUUGUGCCAUGUGCUUCCCUGCUAUUAAAUUCUUUGCGGAUUUCCCGCCCUCCCUUCUAUACUCUGUCUUUGCAUUGUAUAUUAGGUAGAUUUUGCUUGAUUUCUUUUUAUCUAUUCAGGGGUGGAUCUUGUGGCAUAAGUUGAGCUACUUCUUUGCCAUAGUUGUUCCCCUCAAGCUGCUUAAAACUCACAUUUUUCCCGUUGGAGCUUACUUUUCAUUUUUUGUUGAACUCCAUGCUUACUAACUGUUGGCUGAUGGAGGAUUUCCAAGAAGAUAUUCUUGUCAUCAAAGAUGUGAUCCUCUAAGAUGAGAAGAUAUUCUUCAUAUCAAGAUAUGAUCCUCUAAGAUCUUAGUAUAAUUGUGGUAAUCUAGAAUAUCAUAUCUCUGAUUCUUUCUCUUAAUGUAAAGAUUUAGGUGAUUCUAUUCCACAAUCUUUUAUGUAUAUAUAAAGCCAUGUACAUGACAUAGAAAAAUAUGAAUGAAAUUAUUCAAUAAUCUUAUUCCACAAUUGGAUAUGGAGACGACGGAGAUGCAAGGUGUUACCUAAUUAUGCAGUACUAUUCUGGUGGUAGUCUUAGGGAUAUACUUAAUGGUAUGUUGUCUAUUCUUAUUUUCUUUUUUUUUCUUCUAAAAACACAAAGGUUCCACAUGCUUAAUGUAGUUUUAUCUCUCUUUCUACAAAUGUGUGGAUAUGUUAUAAUUUUCUUGAUGCAGACCUGACAUAUGAUUGUGCAUUAAACACUCUAAUUGAUGUGUUUGACGGGCUGCAUCUAAUACAUACCCAUUUUGAACACGGUCGGAUAGUUCAUGCUAAUUUGAACCCGAAAAAUAUAGUGCUUGAUGAGGUAAGCACCAUUCUCAAUGAUCUAGAUCAAAAAAAUCAUCCCCGUAUACCAAAAAACUAAACUUGUAUAUUAAACAUACACCUUCAGGAGUGGAGAGCAGCACUUUGUGAUUUCAGCCUCACUCAUGAGGUUUCUAAAGACGAGGCAAUUUGCCAUAGCAACUACGUUGAAAGAGAAGCAAAAGGUAAGAAUUUUAUGUUUUAAUGAAAAACGACCUGUUCAAAUUUAGCAUGUUAAAAAGUGAUUUUCACUUUAAUCAAUUUAAGAUUCUACUAAGAUAUGAGAUAUGGCUGUCAGUGAACAUGACCAUAUGGUUGGGGAGAGAAAGAGGUUAUGGGUAUGAUUCUUGGAAAAAGGAUUUAUUUCAAAACAAAUAUUAGUCAACAGUUCUUACUAUGAGCAUUGAAUUAGUUGCCUUGCCUUGAUCUUCAUGCAUCUUGGAGUAACCAAAAUCUUUUUCGUUUUUUGUUUUCUUGGCAGGUAGGACAGAGGCAACCCAUGACAAACAAGCAGCAGAGAUAUAUGCAUUGGGAAUAAUCAUGAUUGAAGUUUUAACCAAGGAACCAAUUGGUGCACAGGAACUUGAAAAAACAGUUAGAAGGAAAAUGCAACACAAGGAGUCCAUCCGAGCGAUGAUGGUAGAGCCAAUGAAUUGCUUGACUUGACUCUCUGGUGCAUUAGUAGUGGAAGGAUAGAUCGGCCUCGAGCUUAUGAAGUCUCACACAACCUAAGACGAAUCCGAGACUCAAGUGUGUACAUGAGAAUGGCUAAAGCUGGCGAUUUACAAUCUGCUGAUCCACUAAGCCUUUUCAUGUACUGUUAUUUGAAAUAUUCUAGGACAUCUUUCCACACCAAAUACACUUCGGGAGGUAAUCACUUCACUUGUAUCCUAUUUUGCUUAGACUCUUCAAAAUGUUGUUGCACCCGUGUUGGGUCCUCCAAAAGUGCACUAUUUUAAAGGAUCCAACAUGCAGCCCACAAUUUGUAAAAGAGUCUCAACAACAUAGCUUCUUAUAUAUUUGGGUUUUUCUUGUCUUAGCAUUAUAAGAGUAACAUUUUCUGAGAUGUGGUAUAUUUCACACAUUAUAUAGUUGUUGAUAUGUAUACUCGAGCUACGUUUUGGAACUUGAUGAUUUACUUUAUUUACUUAAAAGGUUUUUAAGAGUACUGUACUAACAAGAAAUUUCUCAUUAGUGUAUCAAUGAGUUUGAGUUCUCCUUAAAUGAAAAGUUCUUCAUAUGUCGGAGCUUCUACAGUUUAGCUAUUUUCGAAUUCAACAUAUAUGGUUUCUCGUAACUAAUGAUUCAGCAGAAGCCUUACAAUAGUGCCAGAUUCUUUUGACUUUUGACUUUUAAUUUUUUGUUUUAAAAUGAGUGUUGACAUGGCUUGUUGAAUUUUUGUAAUGUUAGAAUAAUACUUUUUCUUGUUUUGAGGCGGAGAUUGUAGCUUGUUAAGUUCUCAUUCUCCAUGACAUUUGCCCAUUUUAGCACACCAAAUAUCAGAAGCUGAUAUAUUCUUUUGACUUUUUUUCCGAAGUGAUUCUCUCUUCGCCAUACAAACCCUGUGUCACUUUCAAGUAAAUAAUUCUUUGUUGUCAAAAUUGUCUAGUUCCAUGCUUGGAAAUUCUGCGAAAGUUUCGCCUAAUGGAUCAACAUCGUUUAGUUGAACAACUGAAGGAUUUGGUAGCCCGUGAUAUUGACCAAACAGCUCGUCAACACAGCAAAUUUGAAUCAUUUAAAAAGGAUGUGAUGCAUCUCUUGGAGGAACUCGAACUCAGUAUGUUAUAUUAUCUGUAUAAGAGAUGUCCAUCAUUUGAUUGGGCAAGUGAAAGAUUUGAAAAUCUGAAGGAGGGUCUUAAUCUAAUUGAUAUAACAGAGGAAAAGGUAUGGAAAAGUUUUAUUUCUUUAUGGUUUCAGAAAUUGCUAUACUCUUCUUGUCAUGUUUGUCACUUACUUCCGUACUUGUCUUCUUGUGACCCCAAAAAAAANNNNNNNNNNNNNNNNNNNNNNNNNNNNNNNNNNNNNNNNNNNNNNNNNNNNNNNNNUUACAUGGAGACUUAGAUGAGGAGAUCUAUAUGGAGGUGCCACCUGCUUUUGAAAGCAAGAAGGGAAUGGUGUGUAGACUGAAGAAGGCACUCUAUGGAUUAAAGCAAUCACCUCGUGCAUGGUUUGGAAGAUUUACAAAGGUUAUGAUCAAGCUAGGGUACCGACAAAGUCAAGGAGACCACACCUUGUUCAUACGACACUCAAAAACAGGAAAAGUGACAGCAUUGUUGGUUUAUGUGGAUGACAUCAUAGUAACAGGUGAUGAUUCAGAGGAGAUACAAAAUUUGAAGAAGUGUUUACUCAAGGAAUUUGACAUCAAAGAGCUUGGGAAAUUAAAGUAUUUUUUGGGAAUCGAAGUGGCACACUCAAAACAAGGAAUCUUUAUUUCCCAACAAAAAUAUGUGCUUGAUUUGUUGAAAGAAACAGGAAAAUUAGGGUGUAAACCAGUGGCUACACCAAUUGAAUACAAUCAUAGAUUGUGCAAUGCUCCAGAAGAUUCAGUGGUAGAUAAAGGCUUGUAUCAAAGGCUUGUAGGGAAAUUGAUUUACUUGUCCCAUACAAGGCCGGACAUUGCAUUUGCUGUAAGUGUUGUUAGCCAAUUUAUGCAUGAUCCUAGAGAAAUGCAUCUUCAAGCUGUCAACCGGAUUCUACAAUAUCUUAAAGGAAGUCCAGGAAAAGGAAUAUUAUUCAAAAGAGGAGGAAACAUGGUUUUAGAGGCUUAUACAGAUGCGGACUAUGCUGGUUCAUUAGUGGAUCGAAGGUCAAGUUCUGGAUAUUGCACCUUCUUAGGAGGAAAUCUGGUGACUUGGAGGAGUAAAAAACAAAAUGUAGUAGCUAGAUCAAGUGCAGAAUCUGAGUUUAGAUCCAUGGCGAUGGGAGUUUGUGAGUUGUUAUGGCUAAAGAUAAUCCUUGAUGAUUUGAAGAUAAGAUGGGAAGGACCUAUGAGGCUAUAUUGUGACAAUAAAUCAGCAAUAGUAUAGCUCAUAAUCCUGUACAAUAUGAUCGCACUAAGCAUAUUGAGGUAGACAGACAUUUCAUUAAGGAGAAAUUAGAUAACGGACUCAUUUGUACGCCAUUUGUAUCUACAAAAGAUCAGGUUGCUGAUGUUUUAACAAAAGGACUGCCAAACAAUAUGUUUCAAGAUCUAAUAAGCAAGCUAGGAAUGGAAGAUAUCCAUUCACCCGCUUGAGGGGGAGUGUUGGCUGAUGGAGGAUUUCCAAGAAGAUAUUCUUGUCAUCAAAAGAUGUGAUCCUCUAAGAUGAGAAGAUAUUCUUCAUAUCAAGAUAUGAUCCUCUAAGAUCUUAGUAUAAUUGUGGUAAUCUAGAAUAUCAUAUCUCUGAUUCUUUCUCUUAAUGCAAAGAUUUAGGUGAUUCUAUUCCACAAUCUUUUAUGUAUAUAUAAAGCCAUGUACAUGACAUAGAAAAAAUAUGAAUGAAAUUAUUCAAUAAUCUUAUUCCACACUAACUUGGAACUCUAGAAUAGAGAAUUGCUAGCAGUUAGAUUAUUUAGGCAAUAUAUAGAAGUCCACCUUCAACCAAAGUUCAUUUAGUGCGUUCACCUUCAACCUAAGUUCAUUUGGUCAGUGUUUCAUAUUCUUUGCGUCAUGAUAGAUGUGUUAUUUCUUUGUCUUGGUGAGUAUACUGAUGACUUGUUGCAAUGAUAUUCUUGGUGUGAUGAGAUUCCAGACAUCUCCAAUUUUUAGAAAAUAGAUGUGUUAUUGACUUAUUUCUUUGUCUUGGUGAGUAUACUGAUGACUUGUUGCAAUGAUAUUCUUGGUGUGAUGAGAUUCCAGACAUCUCCCAUUUUUAGUUUUCUACUAUAAUUUUUUUUUACUAUUAUUACCUUUUAAAUAAGGAUUAUAGAUUUGCAAUGCUCUUUGUCCUUUCACCAUUCUAGGAAGGUCAUUUGGUGCUUGUUGUUACAAAGGCAAAUCCAUUCACUUAGUGGCAUUCGUUGUGGCAUCAUUGAAUAAGAUAAUGUUUGGUUCAGCAAAGCUAAGGAUGCCUGACAUGUCGAGAUGUUUACCAUCAGCUGGUGUUUCUGAAUGUAUUAUCUUUGAAUAAAAUAGUGCUCAGCUGAGUGAACAGCAGAAGGUCUGACAUCUUGAGAGAGGUUUACUGUCAGCUGUUAUUAUUGGCUGUAGCCUGUAGCAUCUUUGAAUAUUAGUGCUAAGUGAGUAAGCGAAGGAUGUCUAGCAUGUCGGUACAUUCAGGACGGCACAAAUGCUGUAUAAUGAUGGGAGAAACUUCCAUGUAGCAGGUUUUGGUCCCUCUUUUCUACCCUGGAGUCCACUUUUUGUGUCUGCUGCCAUUGUAAGUUAGAGAAUAUUGAUGGAUGUGAAAAUAUGACUGAAAUCAUUAUAAGCUGGAGUUUAUACUGGGAAACUGGUCACAUGGGAUUCCAUAAUCAUGCGUACAUGUCCAGAAAUGUCAACUUAAAUUUGACUUAUAUCUGUCAAGUAUCUGGAUAGUUUGCCUAGCUAGAGUCCAAUCUCAUUAAUGUGCCUAUGUUGCUCGGAGUGCAUGUCGGAUCCUCCAAAAUUAGUGCAUUUUUUGGAGGAUCUGACACAAGUACGGCAUCAAUAUUGGAGAGUCCGAGCAACAUAGGUGGCUUCCAUUGGUUAAAUGGUUAUCUGAUAUUAAUUUAGGGAGGAUAAUUGUUUUACUUUGGAAAUCAUGUAUACAGGAAGAGGCUUUUCCAAAUGACAAAUGAUCUCCCAACAGUGUUUGAGGUUGUUACUGGAGCUGCUAAGCAGGCACGCGAUGCCGCUCACAACAAUAGCAGCAAAAGCAAAUCAAGUGGAAAGGUUCUCAUAUACUGGACCUAACAUAUAUAGUUACUGUUUCUUUUCCCAUUUUGUUUGAGCAUAUGUUUUCAGCUAUUAUCUUUGAUUUUCAGCCUCGACAGCCAGAGCCCCAGCCCAAGGAAGUAAAGGUGUCUCCACCUAAAAUGGAGGAUGAAAGUGGGGAGGAGGAGGAGGAAGAAGAAGAAGAAGAACAAGGGGCAACUCUCUGUGGAGCUUGUGGUGAUAAUUAUGCCACGGAUGAAUUCUGGAUUUGCUGUGAUAUUUGUGAGAGAUGGUUCCAUGGCAAAUGUGUGAAGAUUACCCCAGCAAAAGCUGAGCAUAUCAAGCAGUACAAGUGUCCUAGUUGCAGUAGCAAGAGAGCUAGAGUUUAAAAUUUGUGGCAAUUUUAGAGCAACAUCAAUUAAGUGGAGGUGUUGGAAGGUCUAGGACUUUUAGCUCAGUUAUCAGAUGUAAUCUAUGUCAAAGUUAAAUGUUUGCUGAUGGAAUUGGGAUGUCCAUUUCAUGAACAUUUGCUUUCUGUUAUCUUACUUUCGGAUUGUGUUUUAGAUGAAAUUUGUGCCUGUCAUCAUCUUGUGUUUGUGAAUCUAUUUUCAUCUUCCUUUACUUUAAUGGGUUAUCUAUAUACUACUACACUGCGGUAGUACGAGGAAUUCAGAAACUUUUUGUGAUCCUUAG
This 11913-nucleotide long non-coding RNA is filed under the name Solanum tuberosum (potato). Its description in RNAcentral is "long non-coding RNA (STUB_LNC002339)". The record is from RNAcentral. Lineage: Eukaryota; Viridiplantae; Streptophyta; Magnoliopsida; Solanales; Solanaceae.